Small nuclear RNA from Myotis lucifugus (little brown bat), 108 nucleotides. The record is from Ensembl. Lineage: Eukaryota; Metazoa; Chordata; Mammalia; Chiroptera; Vespertilionidae.
GUGCUCGCUUCGGCAGCACAUAUACUAAAAUUAGAAUGAUACAGAGAUGAUUACCAUGGCCCCCUGCGCAAGGAUGACAUGCAAAUUCGUGAAGCGUUCCAUAUUUAA